GUCUUUUCAGUUCCCUACGUGUCUUUCUUCUAUGUUAUCAAUGUAUACAUUAUGUUGUUUGUAAUCUUCAUUCAUGCUCCACCUUCUGUGCACAAAUUCAGUUCUUUCUCUUCAACAUUCUCCAUGUAAGUUCUUUCAUAUUUCAAUUGAGUUUUUUUUUGUGCCAUUUUCCUUUUCGUUAAAGUUGAAGUUCCAAUUUAAUCUGGGUGUGUGUGAAUGUUUGUUUAUUUUUUCAUUUGGGUUUGUUAUUGAUGUUGAAUUAUCCUUGUAUUUGGAAGUACCAAUAAUUUCAAUAGUUGUGUUUUCAAUUUUGGUUGAGUGAUUAUGCUUUUCAUGUUCUACUUUGGAUUGUCAAAAAAUUAUUCAGAUUCAAAUUUUUGUUGUAUCUUAUCACAUGUAGUAAUUAAUUUGAUCUUUUUCCUGUCGAAAUUAAUUUUGUGGGUUUCUUUAUCGGAAUUCUUUUGAAUUUCCUCUGUUCAUGUAUGAGUUUCUCAUCAGAAUCAAUUUUCAGGGCUCUUGUGGAUUUAGCUUGGAAUUUAAGGAUUUCCAUUUACUUAUACUCGAAUUGAUCUACUGGUCUAUCAGUAGGUCUAAGAUAAGUCUUCUAACCUUUAGCAUUUAAAUUAUCGCUAAUGUUUGAGUAAAUAGUAAUGUUGUAUUUAUGCGAAUACUGAACAGAAAGAUGGCAUCAAACUAAAUUCUAUUGAAACCCAAGCUUCUGUACAUACACAUGAACAAUUCUCCCACGUAAAAGAUCUUGUAACCCCACACAAGCCUGGGAGGAAAGCUCAAAACAUCUUGAUGGCUAAAUGCUUAUGUUGGAUUAUAAUUUUUUUACUUCUACUUGCUAUUUACUUUGUGAUAAUUGGAAAAAAAAAUUGGUUCUUGGCAAUUUGGUGUUUGAUGGGAUUAAAGCUCAAAACUUUAUUGUUCUCACUUGUGGGGAAAAAAAAUGAUAUGAAAAUCUUCCUUUACUUUGGGACUUGUGUGUGUAGUGUUCUAUUGCUAUCUCUUGCUGCUAUAUUGGUGAUUGGUAAUGCUUUUUAAAGUAGCUUAUUUGCAUUCUUUUCUCUUUUCUUUGUAAUUGUAGUUUUCUAAAUCGUUUUCUUCUCCUCUUAUCUAAAAACACUUUAUGUCAAUAUUUUGAGAUAACAGGGUAAUUUCCAAAAUAUUUGUCUAUGCAUUAAUAUCCUAAUAUCCAUUUAUUUUUCUUUUAUAUAGGAUUGGAUUGUUGAUACUUCCCAUCUAACUGAAGCAAUAGAAGGAGAUAUGAUGCAACACAAAAGAAACCCAAUUUGCCUAGAGCAUAGCACCAGCCUUACAUCUCGUACACCAAAACGACUAAAGGUCCAUGUGCCCAUUUUCUCCAAGGCAUACAAUUUUGUUGUUGAUAGCGUGGACUUUGUUGCCUACUUCUUGGAAAUCAACAGAGACUUUCUAUCUAGCGCUGAGUAACACUAUUGAAAUGCAACAUUAUGUAAAUACACUGCAGCAUUAUGUAAAUAUUGUAGAAUGACUCUAUGUAUGCACUUUUCUUACAUUCGACUCACACAAUUUAGAAACAUUGGGCCCGUGCUUGCACGGGCAACUGAUGCCUAGUGUGUGUGUAUAUAUAUAUAUUCAACUCAUGAAAAAGAAAUGGUUGUUCUUGUU
Molecule: non-coding RNA, 1653 nt
Organism: Solanum lycopersicum (tomato)
Lineage: Eukaryota; Viridiplantae; Streptophyta; Magnoliopsida; Solanales; Solanaceae
Source: RefSeq, a predicted model, not a curated record